Molecule: long non-coding RNA, 745 nt
Organism: Suricata suricatta (meerkat)
Lineage: Eukaryota; Metazoa; Chordata; Mammalia; Carnivora; Herpestidae
Exons: 2
Source: RefSeq, a predicted model, not a curated record
UAACCGCAGUGAGCGGAACACGGAACCUGACUGUUCCACAAACCCGUUCUCCAGCAGCGCCCUUCAAGGGUAAGGUCGACCCACAACAACCCAAAACCCAAUGUUACAGUACAGUGUGUCAAUACGCGACAGGGAUCCAGAGGACAUUAGAGCACCAAGCUGCUGGAGUAGCAGGCUGAACAACUGUCGGGAAACCGGUCGCGCGCCCGGGAUACCCCUUGACCCCUUCCAGUUCCUAGCCGCGGCUCCGGAGCCGCACCCCAGACCUGAAGUUGGACCAGGCAAAGUGCAAGGCGAGCUGGAAGUUGGGGUCCGCUUCAUCCUGAAGGCCAGCGACAUGGCGAACAAGCUCCCGAACGUCGCGCUCCUGCUGUGGGUCCAGUUGGCUCCAAGACGGCACAGGCCGGAACAUCCUGCUCUAACUUCCACAGCGAAGCCCUUCAGUGAGUCCGUUCCUGGUCUCGCGAGAGUUCACGCUCCCACCGAUUUGCUCCUCCAGAGGGUCAGGCCGGCUGUCGCGAGAGUUCAAUUCUAGCUCCUGCAGCAUUGUGUAGGUCACACUACAUGGUCCAUACUACGGCAAGUGUCAGCAAAGUGGCUUGUCUGGCAGAGGCAGACAGGCUGAGCACUGCUCCUCCUGCUCUCACUGGCUUGUGAUUGGGAGCUGCCGAAGGACUUUAUAAUUCCUGUUGACCAAAGAUGGAGUAUUGUCUUUGUUGUUUAUAAUUAAAACUGUAUCUGUGAA